Xyrichtys novacula (pearly razorfish) is the source of this 1208-nucleotide non-coding RNA. The record is from the annotation of a GenBank genome assembly. NCBI's taxonomy places the organism in Eukaryota, Metazoa, Chordata, Actinopteri, Labriformes, Labridae.
UUGGCGCUGAUGUUUGCAGGUUUGUACAUGUUAGUACUGCAAAAGAAUAAAAAGGGUUUGUGUACAGAAUGGAAAAUACUUUUUAAGUGCUAGUGUCUUCUGUUGGAGCAGGUGUCUGUUUCACACUGUUUAAAUACACUCAUUCUGCAUAAGAACAGCCCUAACUGCUGUUUCAGUUUCAGUUGCUGCUCUUGGUUCUCAUUUUACUUCCUGUUUGUUUCUGAGGCUGCCCUGGAUGACUGUUCCGUUGCCUUGACAACGGCCGACCACAUGUAAUUAGUCAUAGUAAAGAGUCUGUCUUUCAGUACAGUGUAUCUACUGUGUUUUUCUCCCCUUGAUAAAAUGCUGUCUCCAGAAAUGUUCACUCACUCUGCAUUGGGCUGUAAUGGUCUGGACCACCGUGAGUCCACACCACCUCAAAAAGUCUCUCUUCUUUGAGUUACCCUCGAAUAUGAUUUUUCCAAAUAUCAAAAGAAAAAAAUGCAAUAGCCUCUUAAAAAAUGUCUGAAAUUGAUUUAUUGUGUAUUCCUUGAAAUAUUUUGAAUUAAGUUUUGUAUUAUUUUGAAAGGGUCUACAUCUGUAAAAGUACGAAAGGAGAUAAAGUGAGGUCCGCCUGCAGUAAUGCAUCAAUGAUGCCAUCUAGUGUUUAAAAAGAGGACUUCAACCUCAGUUCUUUGUGGAUUUUAGUUUUUUUUUUGUCUCUAACAAGUGUUUGUCAAACCAGAUGUCACAUUUUCAAAACCCUAAACACAAUUAGCACAGCAUCGGUCUUUUGUGGCCAUACCAUUCACACAUUUCAUGUCAUUUUCACACAAUAUGCAGUCAGUGAACACAUUUCCACAAUGCUUACAUUUUCUUAACAGACAAGCCAUACCUCCCAACGGAAAUAUGGAUUGUUUUUGUAUGGAUUGUUUACGAAUGUUAACACAUAACAUCCCACAACAGCAAAAACAAUAUUCCAAACCUUAGAUACACAAUAAAUACCUCUGCUUCUGCAAUGAUACCAGUUCAAAAACAAUAUAUCUCUUCUGAUAAUAUACAAACAAUUGAAUAACUGACACAGCUGAUCUAUGUUGGGUAAAUUGGUGACUUUAUGGUGGUCUUUUUUUUUUUUAAACAUCUUUAUUGAUGCUAUCUCUCUCUCAAGGACAAGGAGGUUGAUUAUACGUCUAAAUUUAGACUAGACGUCUAGUCUUAAUUUGGUAUAA